This 293-nucleotide ribosomal RNA is filed under the name uncultured microorganism. Its description in RNAcentral is "partial 16S ribosomal RNA". It matches the Rfam family "Bacterial small subunit ribosomal RNA", at positions 505 to 796 of the family's 1533-position model. The record is from RNAcentral.
GUGCCAGCAGCCGCGGUAAUACGUAGGUGGCAAGCGUUGUCCGGAAUUAUUGGGCGUAAAGGGCUCGCAGGCGGUUUCUUAAGUCUGAUGUGAAAGCCCCCGGCUCAACCCGGGGAGGGUCAUUGGAAACUGGGAAACUUGAGUGCAGAAGAGGAGAGUGGAAUUCCACGUGUAGCGGUGAAAUGCGUAGAGAUGUGGAGGAACACCAGUGGCGAAGGCGACUCUCUGGUCUGUAACUGACGCUGAGGAGCGAAAGCGUGGGGAGCGAACAGGAUUAGAUACCCUGGUAGUCC